AUGCUUGCUUCGGCAGCACAUAGACUAAAAUUGGAAAAAUACAGAGAUUAGCAUGGUCCCUGCAUAAGGAUGAUACAUAAAUUUGUGAGGCAUUCCAUUUAAAA
Small nuclear RNA from Vulpes vulpes (red fox), 104 nucleotides. Lineage: Eukaryota; Metazoa; Chordata; Mammalia; Carnivora; Canidae. The record is from Ensembl.